UAUUUUACGUGUUGAAAUUGUGUUCGAGGUGGCUAAAUCUUGCUUCCACGUACAACAAUUGCAUGCAAAUUCUUCCACACGUGGCAUGCAUUGAUUUCGAGGUACGCAUGAAUUUUUGUGCGAAACUUUAUUCGCAAAUGAAUCAACAAAGGGAACCUGAUUUCCAGCAUGAACAACAAAUGCAAGUGAUAAGACGAUGCCUCUAGCCGACGGAAUUGGGAAGACAAAAUGGAUAAGCAGUAAGCCAAAGAGGGCUUGUGCUCAGUUUCAAUACCGCUACCCACGAACUAUUAAAUUGAUGCCUUUUGGCUUGCUUUUUUUGAGCGCUUUAUUUCGUGUACUACUGAUAAUUCGGCCUGAGUUAAUAACGCGGAUUAUGCUGCUUUGCCAGAUGAAUUCCUGUGUAAUGGAAAAUGAUUGGAUCGAAAUGAUAACUGUGUUUUAAACAGUUCAAUAAUAGAAAUGUAGUAUUAUGUUAA
Molecule: long non-coding RNA, 479 nt
Organism: Olea europaea var. sylvestris
Lineage: Eukaryota; Viridiplantae; Streptophyta; Magnoliopsida; Lamiales; Oleaceae
Exons: 2
Source: RefSeq, a predicted model, not a curated record